RNAcentral lists this ribosomal RNA (253 nucleotides) under uncultured bacterium. RNAcentral describes it as "partial 16S ribosomal RNA". It matches the Rfam family "Bacterial small subunit ribosomal RNA", at positions 524 to 776 of the family's 1533-position model. The record is from RNAcentral.
UACGGAGGGGGCUAGCGUUGUUCGGAAUUACUGGGCGUAAAGCGCACGUAGGCGGGCGAUUAAGUCAGGGGUGAAAUCCCGGAGCUCAACUCCGGAACUGCCUUUGAUACUGGUCGUCUAGAGAUCGGAAGAGGUGAGUGGAAUUCCCAGUGUAGAGGUGAAAUUCGUAGAUAUUGGGAAGAACACCAGUGGCGAAGGCGGCUCACUGGUCCGAUACUGACGCUGAGGUGCGAAAGCCAGGGGAGCAAACGGG